UGGGGAAUUUUGGACAAUGGGCGAAAGCCUGAUCCAGCAAUGCCGCGUGUGUGAAGAAGGCCUUCGGGUUGUAAAGCACUUUUGUCCGGAAAGAAAUCCUUGGCUCUAAUACAGUCGGGGGAUGACGGUACCGGAAGAAUAAGCACCGGCUAACUACGUGCCAGCAGCCGCGGUAAUACGUAGGGUGCAAGCGUUAAUCGGAAUUACUGGGCGUAAAGCGUGCGCAGGCGGUUUGCUAAGACCGAUGUGAAAUCCCCGGGCUCAACCUGGGAACUGCAUUGGUGACUGGCAGGCUAGAGUAUGGCAGAGGGGGGUUAGAAUUCCACGUGUAGCAGUGAAAUGCGUAGAGAUGUGGAGGAAUACCGAUGGCGAAGGCAGCCCCCUGGGCCAAUACUGACGCUCAUGCACGAAAGCGUGGGGAGCAAACAGGAUUAGAUACCCUGGUAGUCCACGCCCUAAACGAUGUCAACUAGUUGUUGGGGAUUCAUUUCCUAGUAACGUAGCUAACGCGUGAAGUUGACCGCCUGGGGAGUACGGUCGCAAGAUUAAAACUC
This 554-nucleotide ribosomal RNA is filed under the name uncultured bacterium. Its description in RNAcentral is "partial 16S ribosomal RNA". It matches the Rfam family "Bacterial small subunit ribosomal RNA", at positions 355 to 902 of the family's 1533-position model. The record is from RNAcentral.